GUGAGGAAUAUUGGUCAAUGGGCGGGAGCCUGAACCAGCCAAGUCGCGUGAAGGAAGAAGGAUCUAUGGUUCGUAAACUUCUUUUGCAGGGGAAUAAAGUGCAGGACGUGUCCUGUUUUGUAUGUACCCUGAGAAUAAGGAUCGGCUAACUCCGUGCCAGCAGCCGCGGUAAUACGGAGGAUCCGAGCGUUAUCCGGAUUUAUUGGGUUUAAAGGGUGCGUAGGUGGUUUGAUAAGUCAGCGGUGAAAGUUUGCAGCUUAACUGUAAAAAUGCCGAUGAAACUGUCGGACUUGAGUGUAAAUGAGGUAGGCGGAAUGCGUGGUGUAGCGGUGAAAUGCAUAGAUAUCACGCAGAACUCCGAUUGCGAAGGCAGCUUACUAAGCUACAACUGACACUGAAGCACGAAAGCGUGGGGAUCAAACAGGAUUAGAUACCCUGGUAGUCC
This 445-nucleotide ribosomal RNA is filed under the name uncultured bacterium. RNAcentral describes it as "partial 16S ribosomal RNA". It matches the Rfam family "Bacterial small subunit ribosomal RNA", at positions 354 to 796 of the family's 1533-position model. The record is from RNAcentral.